AACAAAAAGGUGUUAUUUGGCACGUAAAGUUUUGGUCUUUAAUGUAUAGUUUUAGGACUAUUUUUGUUU
RNAcentral lists this transfer RNA (69 nucleotides) under Musculium lacustre. Its description in RNAcentral is "tRNA-Gln". The record is from RNAcentral. Lineage: Eukaryota; Metazoa; Mollusca; Bivalvia; Venerida; Sphaeriidae.